RNAcentral lists this ribosomal RNA (1174 nucleotides) under human gut metagenome. Its description in RNAcentral is "bacterial LSU rRNA". It matches the Rfam family "Bacterial large subunit ribosomal RNA", at positions 1172 to 2423 of the family's 2925-position model. The record is from RNAcentral.
UCAACGGGGCUAAAAUCAUAACCGAAGCUUGGGAUGCAUUAAUGCAUGGUAGGGGAGCGUUGUGUAAGGGGUGAAGUCACAGCGAAAGCGGUGGUGGACAUUACACAAGUGAGAAUGCCGGAAUGAGUAGCGCGAAUUAUGUGAGAAUCAUAAUGGCCGAAAGUCUAAGGUUUCUGGAGGAAGGUUCGUCCGCUCCAGGUUAGCCGGGAGCUAAGGUGAGGCCGAAAGGCGUAGCCGAUGCACAUACGGUAGAAAUUCCGUAACCGUCGAAGUAUUUAAGCAAAGGGACACUUUGGGAAGGUACAAGCCAGGCGUUGGUAGCCCUGGCCGUAAGGGACUGAAAAUUAGUAGGGAAGUGUACUGGAACAGAGGCGAGAAAAGCUUUGUGUAUAUACAAGACGCCCGUACCGCAAACCGACACAGGUAGAUGGGAAGAGAAUUCUAAGGCCAACGGGAGAAGGGUUGUUAAGGAACUCGGCAAGUUGACCCCGUAACUUCGGAAGAAGGGGUGCUCUGGAAACAGAGCCGCAGAGAAUAGGUCCAGGCGACUGUUUAGCAAAAACACAGCUCUAUGCUAAAUCGAAAGAUGAUGUAUAUGGGGUGACACCUGCCCGGUGCUGGAAGGUUAAGAGGAGAUGUCAUCGCAAGAGAAGCAUUGAAUCGAAGCCCCAGUAAACGGCGGCCGUAACUAUAACGGUCCUAAGGUAGCGAAAUUCCUUGUCAGGUAAGUUCUGACCCGCACGAAUGGUGUAACGAUCUGGACACUGUCUCAACAACCCGCCCGGCGAAAUUGUAGUACCGGUGAAGAUGCCGGUUACCCGCGACAAGACGGAAAGACCCCAUGGAGCUUUACUGUAGCUUAAUAUUGGAUUUUGAUAUUUCAUGUACAGAAUAGGUGGGAGACUGAGAAGCAGAGGCGUCAGCUUCUGUGGAGUCGCCUUUGGGAUACCACUCUUGAAGUGUUGAAAUUCUAACCUGCGGCCGUGAAACCGGUCGGGGGACAUUGUUAGGUGGGCAGUUUGACUGGGGCGGUCGCCUCCAAAAAGGUAUCGGAGGCGCUCAAAGGUUCGCUCAGCAUGGACGGAAACCAUGCCCUUGAGUGUAAACGCAUAAGCGAGCCUAACUGCGAGACGGACGGGUCGAGCAGUAACGAAAGUUGGAGUUAGUGAUCCGG